Molecule: RNA transcript, 3107 nt
Organism: Sceloporus undulatus (fence lizard)
Lineage: Eukaryota; Metazoa; Chordata; Lepidosauria; Squamata; Phrynosomatidae
Exons: 13
Source: RefSeq, a predicted model, not a curated record
GCUGGUCCAGGCGAGGAGGCGCCCUCGGCAUUGGAGGCUCCUCUCUCCUCCUCCUCCUGGCUCCUGCCAUCCAAGUUUCCCCAGGUUGCCUGGCCGGCCAGAAAAAGAGCCGUUUCCCUCGGGGCUGGGAGGGCGAGGGUGCUCCUGGCCAUGCGCAGAGUGCCCCCCUGGGCGAGGAGCAUGGCCCUGAGCUUGUGAGGUCUCUUUGGAAAGGCCACCGCAGCCGCCAGCCCCCCUCUCUCUUCCAUCUCUGCCGGCCAGGAAGCCCCCCCAGGUUGCAUGGAUGAGCAGAGGAGGAAGAAGAAGCUGACCAACUACACCAUUGGUCUCCUCUUCCUCUCCGGAGGGAUUGAGUAUGCGGUGAUCCUGCCAACCAUCUGGGCCUACUUGCAAACUCUGAAUGCUGAGCCCUAUUUCUUGGGCCUGGGCAUCUCUGCCUUUAGUUUUGCUGGACUGAUCACAGGACCGCUUUUUGGAUAUUGGUCUGACCGUACCCGUCAAACCAAGGCCAUCAUCCUCUUUGCCAACCUGUUCCAGAUAGCAGGGAAUUUUAUGUACUUUGUUGGGGGUUCCAAAUGGAUGCUUCUCAGCAGUCGACUUGUGGCAGGUGUGGGGACUGGCGUGGGAGCAUCCAUUUUUGGCUACCUCACACGAUCCACCACCUCUCAGGAGCGUGCCACUGUGUUUGCAGCUGUCAUGGCAUGCCGGCAGGUUGGGCUACUCAUUGGACCAGCCUGCAACCUCUUCCUGCGACUCUGUGACUUCCGGGUUGGGCCCUUCGUGGUCAACAAGUUCACAUCACCGGGGCUCUUCAUGUGUCUGGUGUGGAUCCUGCUUCAAAUCCUUGUUGUGACCAUGUACUAUGACCUACAGCCGCCACUUUCUGCCCGUUCCUCCAAGGCUGUGCCGACAGCAUCGCGGGAUGCCCUGGAAGAAGAAGAGGAGGAGCCUCUCAUGAAGCAUGAAACAGGUCAAGAGGAAGCUGCAGAGACUGGCAGCUAUGGCAGCACAACUGUGGAGCAUCAGGGACCUUACCUGGGGGACGAGUGUCGGUAUGUCCCCAAUGGACACCUGGCGGAUGAGGAUGCAACCGCGGAGAAGGACAAGAACCCCUUCCAUGAUUUCAGCUCCAUCAGAGAGUACCUGAGGGAGGAGGUAGUGGUUCUUCUCACUGCCCAGUUUAUCACACUCUUCAAUCAAACAGCACUUGAGACCAUGAUAACCCCAAUCACACAACGGUACUUGAACUUUGGGGAACUGGAGAACAGCAUCAUGUAUUUCCUAUGUGGUGUGGAGGUCAUUGGUGGCUUCUUUCUGGUGCGCUGCCUUAGCACUCGCCUGACAGACCGUGUGAUCUUACUCCUGGGUCUGAUCAUCUGCAACAUUGCCUGUAUCUGGUGCUUGGUCUUCCUGGCAUGGCCCCGAGGUUCCUUUGCUGUCCUCCUGUCGGAGCUGGUGACUGGUGUAUUCCUGCAGGUUCUAGGCCUGCCCUUUGUUGCAGUCUCCCAGGUGUCACUUUUUUCUAAAGUCACAGCUGAGAGAACCCAAGGGUUCAGCCAAGGUCUCCGUCGCUCUGUCGGGGGGAUUGCUACCAUCCUGGGUCCUCUAUGGGCUGGAGGUUUGACCAAUAACCUUUACAUCAUGCUGGGGGUAAUGAUGGGGCUGCUGAGCUUACUAAUGGUUAUGGUAGGACUAUCAUAUGCCUACCUUGUAGAACCACCGGCUGGAUACCUGUCACCACGAACAUCUCAAGACGAAUGCAAUUCAUGAAAAGUCCGGUUGACUGGAGAUGCCUUUGAAGGAAUGUGAAGUGCACGCUCACCCAGGUGUCAUUUUGACUGCUGCUGUGGACCCCCACCCUUCUCCAGCUGGAUCCUGGUUCCAUAUCGCUCAUCUCUUGCUGGGAUGAGAAGCAGGCAAGAGCUUGGAUUCAUCCAAAAGAAGAACAAGAUCCAGCCAAGAAGCUGGCUAUGCCUUCCACACUCCCAUCUCCACCUGAUCAGAUCUGCUUUGCUCUCAUCUCUGCCCUGUGCCUGAGACCUGACUCAGUGCUUCCCCCUAAGGGUGGGGUCUGCUGUUUCCUUUCACACCCUCCACAGCAUCACUCUUUUUCUUGCCCCUAUGGGGCCCAGCAGGCUAUUGUCUUUGGACCCUGGAAAGGAACUGUAUAGGAGAUUGUCUGAACAACCUCAAACAUCUGAUUUGUUCUCUGACUCAUGCAUUGGGCAGUGAGCCCCAUGAAUGCUGCUCUACUCCACUCUUCUUUAAAACUGGUGCCCCCCACAUGUCCAUGCAGGUUGAGUAUGGUAAGGGAUUGUAGUCCAGCCUGACCUGGGGUGGACUGGUCUCUCCCUUCCUACACCUUCAGGAGUCUUUGUGUUCUCUCAUCAUCCUUGUUCUCUUACGCAGGAACAGGGCUCAUGUAGCCCUCCAGAUGUUGGACUACAGCUCCCAGCAUUCCUCACUAUCAGCUAUAUUGGCUAGGGUUUACUAGGAGUCACUGGCCAUCAACAUCAGAAGGACUCAUGGAAUUGGCCAUGUUUUCUUGGAGACAUCCAAGGGUGAUGGGGGUAAAGUGGGAUGCCAAUGUAAGUGGAGCAGUGAAUUGCUCUGGAUUUAGGCUGGAUUUUAAGAGGAUAUACCAAGGGGGCAACUGCUAUAAUAAUAAUGAUUUAUUUAUAUUUCCCACCUCUCCCUACAGAUCGAGGUGGGAUUACAAGAUUGUAAAAUACAAAGUCAUAAUAAAUUUACAAUAACUGCAAACCCUCCCUCCAUUAAAAAUAAUAAAAAAUUCAACAAUUAAAAACAACAUCAAUAACAUAAUAUAAUCAGAAUGGAAUGGACUAUCAUGGACCUUUAAAGGGAGGAUGGGGCUAUCUUUCUACGGGGGGGUCAGUCUGGGAAGGCCUGCAGGAAGAGAUUUAUCUUGACGACCAUGAGGUCGUUCCACAAUUUCGGAGCGGCAGAAAAGAAUGUCCUCUGGGAAGUUACAGCUAAUCUGGUCUUCUGUGGCUGAAGUAGAUUCUUCCCAGAGGAGCUGAGAGUGUGGGGUGGAUUGUAUAGGGAGAGGUGUUCCUGCAAGUAGCCUGGACCCAAGCCGUGUAGGG